GGUGGCUCAGUGGAUGAGUGCAUGCCUUGCAUGCAUGAGGCCCUGGGUUCAAUUCCUCAGCACCA
This 65-nucleotide transfer RNA is filed under the name Dipodomys ordii (Ord's kangaroo rat). It matches the Rfam family "tRNA". Rfam says of the family: Transfer RNA (tRNA) molecules are approximately 80 nucleotides in length. The record is from Rfam by way of RNAcentral. Lineage: Eukaryota; Metazoa; Chordata; Mammalia; Rodentia; Heteromyidae.